UGCGUGCCAUAGACACAUGAAGACGGUGAAUUUGCAUAAAACUCAUUGACUAUCAUUGAAUUGAUUUAAUUUAAUAAAAGUUAUGAAAAUGUCGCAAAAUAUAUUAAUUGAAACGCAAACGUCGAAUAUAAAUGAUAGCAAUAAUGAUAAUAGUUCCGAAGAUGAACAAAGUGGUGAAUAUACCGAUCCGAAAACAUUCCAAUUAAAAAAGUUUGAGAAGAAAUCGAGCCAUUUAAUUUGGUCACACUUUGGCUGUAUAUUCAAGGGAAAUGUGAUAGUUAGCAGAAUGAAAGAUCGUAUUAUUUGUCGUAUAUGUUUUAAAAAUAAUAGAUUUAAAAGUUAUGCCAAAAGCACCAGCGCAACGGUUUUGAUUCAGCAUAUGUUCAAUGACCAUAGAAUAAAAGUGACUUCGGAGAGAAUUGAAUUGAAACAGAAAAAACUGACGGAUUCGUUUAUUCAACCCGGGGAGAGAAAAGAAAAAUUGCAUUCCGAUGAUAAAUUUAUUUUGGCCCGAAGAUUGGUGUUGUGGUAUUGCAGAGAUUUAAUACCAUUUUCUUCAGUGGAAAAGGAAGGCUUUCUGGAUUUUUGGAGAGUGAUCGGAGGGCUAGGAACUAAAGACAAAGGUCUUCCAACACGACAAACAAUUUCCAUUUUAGCGUUAGACGAUAUGUACACAUGCCUGAAGAAAAAAUUGCUCACCGAUUUGAGUCAAACUCCAGAAUACUGUACUAUUACAUUUGAUAUGUGGACGGACAAUCAUAAAAGAUUAUCAUAUGUAACAUAUACAUAUCACUAUAUGGACUCUGGAUGGAAUAUGAAAAGCAGAAUCUUGAGAACUGGCCGAUUUGAUCGACCCCAUACUGCUGAGCGUAUUCGUGAUGAUUACAUUAACACCAUGGCUGAAUAUGGUAUCGAAGAAAAAAAUGUAGUGUGUGUUACCGAUGGUGGUGCCAAUGUUAAGAAAAGUACCGAAUUACUCAAUUUAAAACGUUUCGCAUGUGUUGCUCACUCAAUCAAUAACCUAAUACAAAAAGAUUUAAUGAAAUCAAAAGAUAUGAAAGAAUUGACUAGUUUAAUUUCAAAAUUAAGGAAAAUUCAAAGAACUUUGAUUUACAAACACACACAAUUGAAAACAAUUUAGGAAGAUGAUAAGCAUAAACAUUUAAUGAUGAUCUUGUUAGAGGAAUGUUCACAAACGGAUGAUAUAUUUGAUGCUGAGUCACAGUUCUCUGAUGUCAAUUUUGAAGAAUUUAACCGCGGUGGGGAUUUUACAGGAUUAAAAUCCAUCAGCACAGUCCGAUGGAAUUGUGUAUUUAAACUCGCACAAGUUCAUUUGAACCACAUAGAAUCCAUAAAAAAGUGCCUUGAAGAACUAGAGGAAUAUGAUUUGAUUCUAACAAAACAAGAUUCCAUAUUACUUGGCGGGGUGGUUGAAUUAUUGGACGUUUCCAACGUUUUCACAACGUACAUCCAAGGAAAUGAUUUUCCCACUCUCAACUCCCUUGUGCUAUUUUAUUCCGAAAUUAAAGAUCGUUUGGAAACCAUUCAUUUGAUGACGACUGAUGAUUUAAUUGAAAAGGCAGCCGAUAUUCUUUUGACAAAUUUGAAUAGAAGAAUGCCUUUACCGAUGGAAGCAAUUGCCAGUGCGCUUUUGGACCCUUCAACACAGCAUUUAAAAAUCAUUAAUGAAUGGUUAAAUUUAGAAGGAUAUUCAAAGGUUGAAGUCAUCGAAACAGUUGCGCAAUCAAUGAAGAUAAAUAUCCAUGAGACUAUAUCGGAGGCGCCAAUUUUGGAUGACAGAGACACCACAGUCCAACCCAAAUCAUUAAGGGAGAAAUUACUUGCAAAACACAUAAAUAUGAUUCACGGAAGUAGUAAUUUAGAACAGGAACUGGAACUAUUUGCUCAGAAGAAAGAAAUACCAGCAUGUGUUUUGAGUUUUUGGCGUCAAAAUGAGUCAUCAUUUCCAAAAAUGUCUGCGGUUGCCAAAGUAAUUCUGGGAAUACCAGCAACAACAGCUAAAUCGGAAAGUGCUUUUUCAAUUGCUGGUUGCUUAAUACAAAGAAGACGGGCAUCAAUCGAACCAAUGCGUGCUGAAAAAACUUUAUUUAUACAUGAUAACUAUGACUUGUUCAAUUUUUAAGAAAAUUCAUAUUUCUUUGUUAUCUGUAGUCCACACUCAAUUACAUUGUAAGCUCAGGUAGUAAGAUAAAUCUAAUAAAAUAUA
RNA transcript from Contarinia nasturtii (swede midge), 2227 nucleotides. RefSeq lists it as uncharacterized. The transcript is spliced from 5 exons. Lineage: Eukaryota; Metazoa; Arthropoda; Insecta; Diptera; Cecidomyiidae. The record is from RefSeq and is a predicted model, not a curated record.